Long non-coding RNA from Amphiprion ocellaris (clown anemonefish), 719 nucleotides. Lineage: Eukaryota; Metazoa; Chordata; Actinopteri; Pomacentridae. The record is from Ensembl.
AUUUCCACAGGGUUCAGGCCCUUCGGUCACUCAAUGGGUUUAACGUGUUAAUGAGUAUGUCUCUGCACAUCGUCUGCAGUGUUUAAUCCUUGGGAGCGACUGACCUUGUUUCUCAAAGUAAGACGGCGGAUAUAACUGAGCAAAUUUUCACGAGUGUCUCUGUUUUUUCUCUCUGUGGGAGCACCGUUUUCCGUCUCAACGUGGGUCCUUUGUCUUCGUCUCUUGUAAUCGGGAGAACAUGGGGAACACCAUCACUGCAUGCCAGAUGAGCAACUACAGCGGCAAGAACGUCCGGGUUUUCGUCACGGAAAAGGCUCUGGAGAUUGACGCCUUCAUCACCUCCCAGUCUGGUGGUGAUGAUAAGAUCGUGUCUGUGCUUCCCGGAGGUAAAAAGUUCAGCUUCAGGAAAGACGUGAACUGUGUGCGUGUGCUGGCCUCUCAGACUCAGGAAGUGUCCUGGGAGCCUCAACACUUUCUGUCCGUCUUUGUGGAGGAUGAAGACGAUGAAAACAUCUGCUGCAAACAAGUCAUACACAACAUGGCCCUGAGCUCUCCAGUCACUGUGCUGCUCUAUGAUGUGUAGAGUAAGUCAUUGUUGUCUGCACACUUACAGAUGGAGAGCAGUUAUUUUAUUGUCAGGAGAAAAUGACCUAAAACAUUUUCAAUGAUAGAAUUCAUUCUGCUGUUAUAUCUUGUGAUGCCUCCAAUAAAAGUGUCGC